AGUGGACGCUGGCGGUAGGCCUAACACAUGCAAGUCGAACGGCGGCACAGUAAGAGCUUGCUCUUACGGGUGGCGAGUGGCGGACGGGUGAGGGAUACAUCGGAAUCUACUUUUUCGUGGGGGAUAACGUAGGGAAACUUACGCUAAUACCGCAUACGACCUACGGGUGAAAGCAGGGGAUCUUCGGACCUUGCGCGAUUGAAUGAGCCGAUAUCGGAUUAGCUAGUUGGCGGGGUAAAGGCCCACCAAGGCGACGAUCCGUAGCUGGUCUGAGAGGAUGAUCAGCCACACUGGAACUGAGACACGGUCCAGACUCCUACGGGAGGCAGCAGUGGGGAAUAUUGGACAAUGGGCGCAAGCCUGAUCCAGCCAUACCGCGUGGGUGAAGAAGGCCUUCGGGUUGUAAAGCCCUUUUGUUGGGAAAGAAAAGCAGCAGGUUAAUACCCCGCUGUUCUGACGGUACCCAAAGAAUAAGCACCGGCUAACUUCGUG
Molecule: ribosomal RNA, 492 nt
Filed under: uncultured bacterium
Lineage: Bacteria
Description: partial 16S ribosomal RNA
Rfam family: Bacterial small subunit ribosomal RNA
Source: RNAcentral